Long non-coding RNA from Orbicella faveolata, 379 nucleotides. NCBI's taxonomy places the organism in Eukaryota, Metazoa, Cnidaria, Anthozoa, Scleractinia, Merulinidae. The record is from RefSeq and is a predicted model, not a curated record.
UCAGCUUCGUGAUAGUUUUGACAGUGAGAAACAAGCUAAAUGACUCUAGAGUAUCGCGAGAUGCGUAGGUAAAGUCGUUUUGUAAUCGAAGUUGUCCGCAGCGUCGCCGUUGUCGUUACUCUGUGCCACUCUGGUAGUAUAAUUAUAUAGUGUUAUUCUUUUGUUUUAUAUUCAGGUCAAGCAGCAGUUUUAUAGCAAGUGGAAGUCAAGAUAACACAAUAAAGAUAUGGAACGUACCAACGGCAAUUGGCAACGAUUCCCCAGUCAAGUUGUCCGUUAGACUCACCGAGAAGGCCCAUGACAAGGAUAUCAAUUCCGUCACCAUUUCACCAAACGACAAGCUGUUGGCUUCUGGUUCACAAGAUAAAACUGCNAAUAU